GAUAAACGCUGGCGGCGUGCCUUACGCAUGCAAGUCGAACGCACCUUCGGGUGAGUGGCGGACGGGUGAGUAACACGUACGUGAUCUGUCCCGAACUGGGGGAGUAACCGCCCGAAACGGGUAGGCUAAUACCGCAUGUGGUCCCCGGUUUCGUCGAGCCGGGGAGGUAAAGUUACCGGCGGUUCGGGAGGAGCGUGCGGCCGAUUAGCUAGUUGGUGGGGUACGAGCCUACCAAGGCGACGAUCGGUAGCUGGUCUGAGAGGACGGCCAGCCACACGGGGA
This 282-nucleotide ribosomal RNA is filed under the name uncultured bacterium. Its description in RNAcentral is "partial 16S ribosomal RNA". It matches the Rfam family "Bacterial small subunit ribosomal RNA", at positions 28 to 318 of the family's 1533-position model. The record is from RNAcentral.